This 425-nucleotide ribosomal RNA is filed under the name uncultured bacterium. RNAcentral's name for it is "bacterial SSU rRNA". It matches the Rfam family "Bacterial small subunit ribosomal RNA", at positions 356 to 773 of the family's 1533-position model. The record is from RNAcentral.
GGGGAAUCUUCCGCAAUGGACGAAAGUCUGACGGAGCAACGCCGCGUGAGUGAUGACGGCCUUCGGGUUGUAAAGCUCUGUGAUCGGGGACGAAUGGCUGGUGCGUUAAUACCGCAUCAGAGUGACGGUACCCGAAUAGCAAGCCACGGCUAACUACGUGCCAGCAGCCGCGGUAAUACGUAGGUGGCAAGCGUUGUCCGGAAUUAUUGGGCGUAAAGCGCGCGCAGGCGGCUUCUUAAGUCCAUCUUAAAAGUGCGGGGCUUAACCCCGUGAUGGGAUGGAAACUGGGAGGCUGGAGUAUCGGAGAGGAAAGUGGAAUUCCUAGUGUAGCGGUGAAAUGCGUAGAGAUUAGGAAGAACACCGGUGGCGAAGGCGACUUUCUGGACGACAACUGACGCUGAGGCGCGAAAGCGUGGGGAGCAAAC